This 406-nucleotide ribosomal RNA is filed under the name uncultured bacterium. Its description in RNAcentral is "partial 16S ribosomal RNA". It matches the Rfam family "Bacterial small subunit ribosomal RNA", at positions 28 to 526 of the family's 1533-position model. The record is from RNAcentral.
GAUGAACGCUAGCUACAGGCUUAACACAUGCAAGUCGAGGGACCGGCGCACGGGUGAGUAACACGUAUCCAACCUGCACUUUACUAGGGGAAGGCUUUUCGAAAGAUAGAUUAAUACCCGAUAGAAAGGAUGGGGAUGCGUUCCAGUAGGUUGGGGGUGAGGUAACGGCGCACCAAGCCUUCGAUGGAUAGGGGUUCUGACAGGAAGGUACCCUACAUUGGAUCUACGACACGGACCAAACUCCUACGGGAGGCAGCAGUGAGUAACAUUCGUCAAUGGGAGCUAGCCUGACCCAGCCAGGUAGCGUGAAGAAUGGAGACUUAUGGGAUGUCAACUUCUUGUGUAUAAGAAUCUGUACUAUAUGAAGAAGGAUCGGCUAACUCCGUGCCAGCAGCCGCGGUAAUAC